Molecule: ribosomal RNA, 2906 nt
Filed under: Citrobacter freundii
Lineage: Bacteria; Pseudomonadati; Pseudomonadota; Gammaproteobacteria; Enterobacterales; Enterobacteriaceae
Description: 23S ribosomal RNA
Rfam family: Bacterial large subunit ribosomal RNA
Source: RNAcentral
GGUUAAGCGACUAAGCGUACACGGUGGAUGCCCUGGCAGUCAGAGGCGAUGAAGGACGUGCUAAUCUGCGAUAAGCGUCGGUAAGGUGAUAUGAACCGUUAUAACCGGCGAUUUCCGAAUGGGGAAACCCAGUGUGAUCCGUCACACUAUCAUUACGUGAAUACAUAGCGUAAUGAAGCGAACCGGGGGAACUGAAACAUCUAAGUACCCCGAGGAAAAGAAAUCAACCGAGAUUCCCCCAGUAGCGGCGAGCGAACGGGGAGCAGCCCAGAGUCUGAAUCAGCUUGUGUGUUAGUGGAACGGUCUGGAAAGUCCGACGGUACAGGGUGAUAGUCCCGUACACCAAAAUGCACAGGUUGUGAACUCGAAGAGUAGGGCGGGACACGUGGUAUCCUGUCUGAAUAUGGGGGGACCAUCCUCCAAGGCUAAAUACUCCUGACUGACCGAUAGUGAACCAGUACCGUGAGGGAAAGGCGAAAAGAACCCCGGCGAGGGGAGUGAAAAAGAACCUGAAACCGUGUACGUACAAGCAGUGGGAGCCUCUUUAUGGGGUGACUGCGUACCUUUUGUAUAAUGGGUCAGCGACUUAUAUUCUGUAGCAAGGUUAACCGUAUAGGGGAGCCGAAGGGAAACCGAGUCUUAACUGGGCGUUAAGUUGCAGGGUAUAGACCCGAAACCCGGUGAUCUAGCCAUGGGCAGGUUGAAGGUUGGGUAACACUAACUGGAGGACCGAACCGACUAAUGUUGAAAAAUUAGCGGAUGACUUGUGGCUGGGGGUGAAAGGCCAAUCAAACCGGGAGAUAGCUGGUUCUCCCCGAAAGCUAUUUAGGUAGCGCCUCGUGAAUUCAUCUUCGGGGGUAGAGCACUGUUUCGGCUAGGGGGUCAUCCCGACUUACCAACCCGAUGCAAACUGCGAAUACCGAAGAAUGUUAUCACGGGAGACACACGGCGGGUGCUAACGUCCGUCGUGAAGAGGGAAACAACCCAGACCGCCAGCUAAGGUCCCAAAGUCAUGGUUAAGUGGGAAACGAUGUGGGAAGGCACAGACAGCCAGGAUGUUGGCUUAGAAGCAGCCAUCAUUUAAAGAAAGCGUAAUAGCUCACUGGUCGAGUCGGCCUGCGCGGAAGAUGUAACGGGGCUAAACCAUGCACCGAAGCUGCGGCAGCGACGCUUAUGUGUUGUUGGGUAGGGGAGCGUUCUGUAAGCCGUUGAAGGUGUGCUGUGAGGCAUGCUGGAGGUAUCAGAAGUGCGAAUGCUGACAUAAGUAACGAUAAAGCGGGUGAAAAGCCCGCUCGCCGGAAGACCAAGGGUUCCUGUCCAACGUUAAUCGGGGCAGGGUGAGUCGACCCCUAAGGCGAGGCCGAAAGGCGUAGUCGAUGGGAAACAGGUUAAUAUUCCUGUACUUGGUGUUACUGCGAAGGGGGGACGGAGAAGGCUAUGUCAGCCGGGCGACGGUUGUCCCGGUUUAAGCAUGUAGGCGGAGGUUCCAGGUAAAUCCGGUACCUUAUUAACGCUGAGGUGUGAUGACGAGGCACUACGGUGCUGAAGUGAUAAAUGCCCUGCUUCCAGGAAAAGCCUCUAAGCAUCAGGUAACACGAAAUCGUACCCCAAACCGACACAGGUGGUCAGGUAGAGAAUACCAAGGCGCUUGAGAGAACUCGGGUGAAGGAACUAGGCAAAAUGGUGCCGUAACUUCGGGAGAAGGCACGCUGAUAUGUAGGUGAAGCCCCUGCGGGCGGAGCUGAAAUCAGUCGAAGAUACCAGCUGGCUGCAACUGUUUAUUAAAAACACAGCACUGUGCAAACACGAAAGUGGACGUAUACGGUGUGACGCCUGCCCGGUGCCGGAAGGUUAAUUGAUGGGGUUAUCCGUAAGGAGAAGCUCUUGAUCGAAGCCCCGGUAAACGGCGGCCGUAACUAUAACGGUCCUAAGGUAGCGAAAUUCCUUGUCGGGUAAGUUCCGACCUGCACGAAUGGCGUAAUGAUGGCCAGGCUGUCUCCACCCGAGACUCAGUGAAAUUGAACUCGCUGUGAAGAUGCAGUGUACCCGCGGCAAGACGGAAAGACCCCGUGAACCUUUACUAUAGCUUGACACUGAACACUGGUCCUUGAUGUGUAGGAUAGGUGGGAGGCUUUGAAGUGUGGACGCCAGUCUGCAUGGAGCCAUCCUUGAAAUACCACCCUUUAAUGGCUGGUGUUCUAACGUGGACCCGUUACCCGGGUUGCGGACAGUGUCUGGUGGGUAGUUUGACUGGGGCGGUCUCCUCCUAAAGAGUAACGGAGGAGCACGAAGGUUAGCUAAUCCUGGUCGGACAUCAGGAGGUUAGUGCAAAGGCAUAAGCUAGCUUGACUGCGAGAGUGACGGCUCGAGCAGGUGCGAAAGCAGGUCUUAGUGAUCCGGUGGUUCUGAAUGGAAGGGCCAUCGCUCAACGGAUAAAAGGUACUCCGGGGAUAACAGGCUGAUACCGCCCAAGAGUUCAUAUCGACGGCGGUGUUUGGCACCUCGAUGUCGGCUCAUCACAUCCUGGGGCUGAAGUAGGUCCCAAGGGUAUGGCUGUUCGCCAUUUAAAGUGGUACGCGAGCUGGGUUUAGAACGUCGUGAGACAGUUCGGUCCCUAUCUGCCGUGGGCGCUGGAGAAUUGAGGGGGCUGCUCCUAGUACGAGAGGACCGGAGUGGACGCAUCACUGGUGUUCGGGUUGUCAUGCCAAUGGCAUUGCCCGGUAGCUAAAUGCGGAAGAGAUAAGUGCUGAAAGCAUCUAAGCACGAAACUUGCCCCGAGAUGAGUUCUCCCUGAGACUAUAAGUCUCCUGAAGGAACGUUAAAGACGAUGACGUUGAUAGGUCGGGUGUGUAAGUGUAGCGAUACAUUGAGCUAACCGAUACUAAUGAACCGUGAGGCUUAACCUU